This is a long non-coding RNA of Thalassophryne amazonica, 323 nucleotides long. RefSeq lists it as uncharacterized. NCBI's taxonomy places the organism in Eukaryota, Metazoa, Chordata, Actinopteri, Batrachoidiformes, Batrachoididae. The record is from RefSeq and is a predicted model, not a curated record. The transcript is spliced from 3 exons.
CUCGUAUUUCAUGGUAGAAAACACAGACUCACAGACGUACGUUGAGCCAAACAUUGACAUGCCCGUGCAAUGUUCCAAGCCAGUUUAUACGAUGCAAGUGUUACUGUCUCUGACUGCUUCGUAAAUUUUUUGAAAACCUGUACCUGCUUUUCUGCCUGACUUUUCAAAGUGGUCAGUUUGUGCUUGCGAAGUUCAGUCCCUUUUGGAAAUUCCUGGUCAAUGUUAGCGUGGAGUGAGCUGAAGUGACGCUGAAGAUUUGAAGCCUUGAAAUGCACCAAUGACGACUGACAUAUAAGGCAGAAUGGCUUGCCAUUACGUUCGAC